CUAAAUGGCAGAAUAUUGCAUUAGAAUUAGAAUCUAAUUACCUAAU
Molecule: transfer RNA, 46 nt
Filed under: Iberesia sp. CRBAMM000212
Lineage: Eukaryota; Metazoa; Arthropoda; Arachnida; Araneae; Nemesiidae
Description: tRNA-Leu
Source: RNAcentral